GAUGCUAUGAUGAGUUUAAAUACUUGGUGUGGGCAGUGGCGGUGGCGAAUUUUGUCAUUGCCGUGAGCCUUUCUCACUAAUUAAACGACUUCUCCUUCCACUGAGCGCC
Musa acuminata subsp. malaccensis (wild Malaysian banana) is the source of this 109-nucleotide non-coding RNA. Lineage: Eukaryota; Viridiplantae; Streptophyta; Magnoliopsida; Zingiberales; Musaceae. The record is from Rfam.